Molecule: long non-coding RNA, 851 nt
Organism: Clarias gariepinus (North African catfish)
Lineage: Eukaryota; Metazoa; Chordata; Actinopteri; Siluriformes; Clariidae
Exons: 3
Source: RefSeq, a predicted model, not a curated record
UGACUUCUCCAAGAGCUAAUUGGAGCCAGGAGUGAGCCAACCUUGAGUCCAAUCAGUGUGAUGAUAUUGGAUCUGUUGCUGUAAGCUGUCCUGCCCUAUACAGACAGAACACACACCAGCACUUUGGCACAUGCUAACAUUUUUGUUGACACAUCUACAAUACAAGGAAAACAUUAAACAUGAAUGGAGUACAUGGGAGGACACCACGGAGGAAGCCAUUGCUGUCCAAAAAAAAUAUUGCAGCACGUUUAAAGUUUGCAAAAGAGCACCUGGAUGUUCCACAGCACUACUGGCAAAGUAUUCUGUGGACAGAUGAAACCAAAACUGAGUUGUUUGUGAAUAAAACACACACAACACUAUGUGUGGAGAAAAAAAGGCACAGCACACCAACAUCAAAACCUCAUCCCCACUGUAAAACAUGGUGGUGGGAGCAUCAUGGUUUGGGGCUGCUUUGCUGUCUCAGGGCCUGGACGGAUUGUUGUCAUUGAUGGAAAAAUGAAUCCCAGAGUUUAUCAAGACAUUUUGCAGGAAAACAAUGAAAAUCAACUUUGUUGAUCCUAAUUAAAAAAACAAAAUCUAUCAGUUAUCAGACUCACUGUUCCAUCUCCAUCAGUUCUGCUGUAAUGAGCUCGAUCAGGACCUGGGAAGAAAACAAACAAGAAACAUUCAGACAGUUCAUGCAGCAAAACUUUUAAACACUUUUUCUGCACAUUUAACUUUUUUAUGCCUUAUUCUACACACUACAGCAGUGUGGUUGAUGGCAUGAGCGGAAACAAACUAUGAAAUUUAUGGAAUAUGCAGUGACUCUAACCAGUAUUUGUGUGUGUGUGUAGGUUUGAGAGUGUGUGUGU